RNAcentral lists this ribosomal RNA (723 nucleotides) under uncultured bacterium. Its description in RNAcentral is "bacterial SSU rRNA". It matches the Rfam family "Bacterial small subunit ribosomal RNA", at positions 51 to 776 of the family's 1533-position model. The record is from RNAcentral.
ACACAUGCAGUCGAGGGGUAGAGUUCUUCGGAACUUGAGACCGGCGCACGGGUGCGUAACGCGUAUGCAAUCUACCUUAUACAGGGGAAUAGCCCAGAGAAAUUUGGAUUAAUGCCCCAUAGUGUUAUCGAAUCGCAUGGUUUGAUAACUAAAGUUCCAACGGUAUAAGAUGAGCAUGCGUCCCAUUAGUUAGUUGGUAAGGUAACGGCUUACCAAGACAAUGAUGGGUAGGGGUCCUGAGAGGGAGAUCCCCCACACUGGUACUGAGACACGGACCAGACUCCUACGGGAGGCAGCAGUGAGGAAUAUUGGUCAAUGGGCGCAGGCCUGAACCAGCCAUGCCGCGUGCAGGAAGACGGUCCUAUGGAUUGUAAACUGCUUUUAUACAGGAAGAAACACCUCCACGUGUGGAGGCUUGACGGUACUGUAGGAAUAAGGAUCGGCUAACUCCGUGCCAGCAGCCGCGGUAAUACGGAGGAUCCAAGCGUUAUCCGGAAUCAUUGGGUUUAAAGGGUCCGUAGGCGGUCUUAUAAGUCAGUGGUGAAAGCCCAUCGCUCAACGAUGGAACUGCCAUUGAUACUGUAAGACUUGAAUACUUGUGAAGUAACUAGAAUAUGUAGUGUAGCGGUGAAAUGCUUAGAUAUUACAUGGAAUACCAAUUGCGAAAGCAGGUUACUAACAAGUUAUUGACGCUGAUGGACGAAAGCGUGGGGAGCGAACAGG